Panicum virgatum (switchgrass) is the source of this 395-nucleotide long non-coding RNA. RefSeq lists it as uncharacterized. The transcript is spliced from 2 exons. The record is from RefSeq and is a predicted model, not a curated record. Lineage: Eukaryota; Viridiplantae; Streptophyta; Magnoliopsida; Poales; Poaceae.
AACGGAACUGCCAAACCGCAAUGACAAUAGAAAAUCAUGGAAUUUUGGUAUUCUUAAUCUUUCCAUUUUGGAAUGUGCUAGUUGAUUGUUUCAGGAGGAAGGCACUACAGAAGAUGAGAAGAGGGUAAUCUGACCUUUUGUCCCAUUUGUCUUCUGCAUAUCAGGCCAUACUCAUCUAGUUUCUGCUCUACCCUCACCAGCUCCUUCUUUUGGUAGGCGUCGACCACUUGUGGAUCCAUCUUGGAUGGAGAGAAAUUUUCACUACCUCAUAUUCGGAUGAAAUUCCAUUUGUUUGGAUGGAGAGAGAUAAGAGCCCUGGGAAGGGAAAAGAAGCCUACGCUCUUUACAUGUUAUACAUUUUAAUGGACUGAGUUAAUGUACUAUGAGAUGUGAAA